UACGAAGGGGGCUAGCGUUGUUCGGAAUUACUGGGCGUAAAGAGAGCGUAGGCGGCUCUAUAAGUUGGAUGUGAAAGCCCCGAGCUUAACUUGGGAAUAGCACUCAAUACUGUAGAGCUAGAGUACGAUAGAGGAUGAUGGAAUUCCUAGUGUAGAGGUGAAAUUCGUAGAUAUUAGGAGGAACACCAGUGGCGAAGGCGGUCAUCUGGGUCGUAACUGACGCUAAGGCUCGAAAGCGUGGGGAGCAAACAGG
This 253-nucleotide ribosomal RNA is filed under the name uncultured bacterium. RNAcentral describes it as "partial 16S ribosomal RNA". It matches the Rfam family "Bacterial small subunit ribosomal RNA", at positions 524 to 776 of the family's 1533-position model. The record is from RNAcentral.